AUUGAACGCUGGCGGAAUGCUUUACACAUGCAAGUCGAACGGCAGCACGGACUUCGGUCUGGUGGCGAGUGGCGAACGGGUGAGUAAUGUAUCGGAACGUGCCCAGUCGUGGGGGAUAACGUAGUGAAAAUUACGCUAAUACCGCAUACGAUCUAUGGAUGAAAGCGGGGGAUCGCCAGACCUCGCGCGAUUGGAGCGGCCGAUAUCAGAUUAGGUAGUUGGCGGGGUAAAGGCCCACCAAGCCAACGAUCUGUAGCUGGUCUGAGAGGACGACCAGCCACACUGGAACUGAGGCACGGUCCAGACUCCUACGGGAGGCAGCAGUGGGGAAUUUUGGACAAUGGGCGAAAGCCUGAUCCAGCCAUUCCGCGUGCAGGAUGAAGGCCCUCGGGUUGUAAACUGCUUUUGUACAGAACGAAAAGGUUUCUACUAAUACUAGGAGCUCAUGACGGUACUGUAAGAAUAAGCACCGGCUAACUACGUGCCAGCCGCCGCCGUAA
RNAcentral lists this ribosomal RNA (500 nucleotides) under uncultured bacterium. RNAcentral's name for it is "partial 16S ribosomal RNA". It matches the Rfam family "Bacterial small subunit ribosomal RNA", at positions 30 to 523 of the family's 1533-position model. The record is from RNAcentral.